AACGCUCAGGUUGCCUAGUGGUUGGAGCGUCCGCCUCAGAUGCGGGAAAUCGUGGGUUCGAACCCUGGCUGUGUCA
Potamilus streckersoni is the source of this 76-nucleotide non-coding RNA. NCBI's taxonomy places the organism in Eukaryota, Metazoa, Mollusca, Bivalvia, Unionida, Unionidae. The record is from the annotation of a GenBank genome assembly.